This 414-nucleotide ribosomal RNA is filed under the name uncultured bacterium. RNAcentral describes it as "bacterial SSU rRNA". It matches the Rfam family "Bacterial small subunit ribosomal RNA", at positions 355 to 794 of the family's 1533-position model. The record is from RNAcentral.
UGGGGAAUAUUGGACAAUGGGCGCAAGCCUGAUCCAGCCAUGCCGCGUGAGUGAUGAAGGCCCUAGGGUUGUAAAGCUCUUUCACCGGUGAAGCGGUAACCGGAGAAGAAGCCCCGGCUAACUUCGUGCCAGCAGCCGCGGUAAUACGAAGGGGGCUAGCGUUGUUCGGAAUUACUGGGCGUAAAGCGCACGUAGGCGGAUAUUUAAGUCAGGGGUGAAAUCCCGGGGCUCAACCCGGAACUGCCUUUGAUACUGGGUAUCUAGAGUCCGAGAGAGGUGAGUGGAAUUCCGAGUGUAGAGGUGAAAUUCGUAGAUAUUCGGAGGAACACCAGUGGCGAAGGCGGCUCACUGGCUCGGUACUGACGCUGAGGUGCGAAAGCGUGGGGAGCAAACAGGAUUAGAUACCCCGGUAGU